AUAUAAUUCUAAUAUCAUUUACCUAGACUCUAAAUUUAUUUACACAUUUGAGAGUUUUUUUUAAGAAAUUCUGCUUCCAAAACAAGAUAUUAAUGAAGAGUUUGCAAUUCACUGUCUUAUAUGUAAUAUAAAACAACAAAGCUGUUAAUAAUUUUCUACAUAUACAUAUCACCCUAUAUCACGAAUUUUACAUCAAAUUAUUGUACCGCAAAUAUUAUGCAUAUGUUAUAUUAUCUUAAGAGAACUAUUAUAUACUUAGCUAUUUAUCUGCUUGGUACAGGAACAUUUAUAAUAAUUUGUAGAAAUUAGCCCCAAAUUUAAUCUCAUAAUAUAUAUUAUUGGAGUCGUAUUACUGGUUGCCUAACUUUAGAUUAAAUCAACCAUUAUGAAAUAUUCUUAUAUGCCCAAUGCCAUAAAACAUAUAUAUUUGCAUAAAACAAUCCUCAGUUUAUGCCUUAUGCGCCCCUGAAUCACCCUGAAUCCAACGACAUCUCGAAAAAUGAGUAGAAUUAAAAAACUACUGCCCUAGUUGUUGUAAAGUCGAACUUGAUAUUUUCGCAUUCCCUUUUAUAGUAACCCAUUUCAUUCAAAUUUGCCGGUAUAAGUAUAAGCCCCGCCCUAAUACAAAAUGGCCACAGUUUUCAAGCUGUCAAUAAAUUAAUUUCUUAUUGGUCCAUGUGGGCCUUUGACAAUUUGUUUUUGUUUUGACUUUUGACAUCUUCGUAAUGGAAAGGUUGUCGCCGCGCCGGCAGAAUUUUUGUUUUUGUAUUGAUUAUUAAUAGAAAAAGUUUGCUUUCCUCACGCAGUUUGAACAGUUUUCAUUUUAAAGCUUGCUCAGUCUCUCCAAACAGUGAGUAUUUAAUUAUUUUCCUUCCCAGAUACGGCCAUAACGUUAUCCCAAGUAUUCGAUUGAAGGUUUUCUUCUCAUUUUUUUUCUGUUGAUGCAUUACUCUAUAUUUAUGAUCGUAUCUGGUAAUGGUAAUAGGGAUAUUUUUACCAAAGAAAUAAUGGGGUAGGGGUUAUAAUGAGUAAUAACUGGUAAUAACUAUGGUAACUUUUUUCGCUGCUUAUGUAAGUAUACCUACUUUAAUAAUUUUACAAAUAUUUUUUAUUUAACCCCACUAUGUUCUUUCUUUGUCUUUGUAUUUGUUGUUUGUUUCAGAAUAAUUGUUGUGUUAUGUUAUAUCUAUGUCUGUGUUUCAGCUUUGGUUUCAGUCACAAUUUAACUCUAUAUCAUACGUCGACGCCCUAUGGCAGAGACAUAUCAGCAUCAACAUAACUGGCCUUACGUUUACAGGAACGAAGAAAUACUGACUAAAGAACAUGAAAGAUGCUCAGUGUCGAAAGAAAUGAAGAAAGUGUACGGUUUAGCGUUUCAUGUCAUAUUUCCAAAGUUGUAUUUACAUUGUAAACGCCUAUUAAUUUUAAAAAUAUGUACUCAAAAAAUGGAAGCUUAUGGUACAGGGAAAUGGAAGAAUAAGAAGAAUUAGAGGGUGUAGAAUAAGCUAGAGAAUACCACUGCCAAGUCUGAGUAAGACAUGAAACAAUCUGGAUAUUGGAAUGUUCUGUUACAAAUAAUGCUUGGUUUAAUACUACACAUCAGGACACUGUCGCCCAGUGGCCGAAUUAUUAAUUAACUCGAUGACAUCAUUAACUGUCAUCGAUUUACAUAAGUAAAUUUUGCUGAUGGUGCCCCUAUGAAUUGGAUCAAACAGUGACGCUCCAGGACACGACGCGGCCUCCUUUCGAAGAGGAGAUCUGGAUCAUCUCAAACUUGAUGGUCUGCGUAGCAUGCAUAGGUAUCCAUGGGAGUCACCGGCCUCUGGUUUACGAGCUAGGUGUUUUAAUGCUAGAGGCUUCAGCCGGAUACUACCUAGCACCCAAGCUAAGACACUUCUUCAUGCACGUGUUGCGUGGCACCUCGAGGGCGUAGGGGACUUGAUACCAACAUAUUUGAAGAUGAGGAGAGGGGUGAGGCCUGUAAUGAGUCCCAGUGGUAGGUCGUUCGAUGGGAAAGGAGACGAUCUCAGAUAAAGCUGUUUAAUUGGAAUCGAGAGUGACCGGUGAGGCAUUAUAAUCGAAAAGUGUCAAAUCUGCAGAAGGGGACACCCACACCUCGGACGCGACGUGAAGGAUAUUUUGUUCUGCAUCUGCUUGACGUCGAUUUAUGGAUAGAGAUUCGGGAUAGACAGGCUAGCAAACCUCAGCUUAACCUAAAACCAACUAAAAAUAAUUCAAGUUUGUUGCGUGUUUAAAUCAUUGAAGAUUCCAGAUGAAAUAUUGCAAGACGUGUGUGAUUGAUUCUAAAGUUUCUUCGGAUUCCCCCAGGCAUCGUCUCGAAUACCGGGUGACGUGUUACCAACUCUAGGGAAUCAUCUCAGGACCAGGGAGCUGGGUUACUCGCCAUGCCCAAGUGCAGCUUGACUUGAUGUAUUGGUAAAUAAGAUGAUGGAGCAGGAAGAUAAUAAUACAAUAGAAGAGGACUUGGAUAAUAAGAAGAAUAGAAGAGGAAAUAGGAAAUUGAGAUGAUGGGAGAGAUCAAUGAAAAUGUCUUUAAAACAAUGGAGGGAAAAUUAUAAGUAGAAUUGCUGGUGAAUAUUGACAAGUCUGAUAGGGAGGUUUAGCUUUUUGAGAGGACAUGCAGACAAUCUUACGAGUGGUCAGUGCAUUGCUCAUGCUGAGGAAGUACUUGUUUUUAGCUAAAUAUUUCUUCUAUAAAUGAAACACUGCAAUAUGGUCUGUCCUCUGGUCUGUCCUCUCAUACCUUACAAAGUCACAACUGUAAAAAUAGAUUGUUCUAGCUCAUGAAACAAUCUGAAAGUGGCAACGUUCUCUUACAAAUGGAAUAUUACAAUACAAUAUAACACUCGGCUAACCUCCUAUAUGUUGAUGGAACAGCAGCUAGCAGCGUAUUUUAUAAUUAAGGCUGAUUUACACGUAUCCACGGCGUACGCCGGUUUCACUUUGACGCUUGCACUGGCAUGGUAGUGACCACGCCAGUAAUUAGUAUUAACUUUAUUUUUUUAUAUGUAUAUUCAUUUUAUUUUUUUUUAAAUUAUUAAAUUCAGCUAGAGUGCUUAGUAAGUAAUAUCUAUGCUAAUAUACUUUAUUACUACAAAAAAAACUACUUUUAUUCUUGUAUUAUUGCAACUUGAAAUUUUAAAUUUUCGUGUUUAUUUGUAUUAGUUAAUUUUUUUAGCUCAGCACAGUUAUAUAAUUAACAACUGAUAAUUAAAGUAAUUAAAUGCAGUAAUACAUAAAUAGAAUUAGUUUUAUGAAUGUUAUAUGAAUAUGUUACUUGAAUGGUACACAUAAGCUGAUUAUAUUUUAUUUCAAAGUAUCACUUUAUAAGGAUAAUUGUUCUCCAUAUGCUGGCAUUUCAUAAAAUUUUUAUAUUCUACUCUUAAAAAUUUUACUCAUCGUUCUUGUUUAGUUUAAUCAUAGAUUGUCAUCAUUUGAAGACUUGAAGUAAAUAAUGUUCUAAGUGCCAAAAAAUCAGUUUGUCAUGAUAAGUGCCACAACCAUAUACAUAUAUAUAUAUAUAUAUAUAUAUAUAUAUAUAUAUAUAUAUAUAUAUAUAUAUAUAUAUAUAUAUAUAUAUAUAUAUAUAUAUAUAUAUAUAUAAAGCGCUAAGUAUUGAGGCUAAGAGGCUAUCAAAUUGUAUUGAAAAAAAUUCCCGACAAAGAAACCGCCCGUUCUUAUGGGUUAUAUAACAAAAAAUGUUCGAAAUAAUGAUUUUGGCACUUAAAACAUCAUUUACUUCAUUUCAUGUAUUCCUAAAUGAGUUUAGUUACUUUUAAAAAUCUUUUUAUAUAAUUAUUAUCUAUACAUCAGUGGCAACGAGUAACAGCUCUAAGCAAGUUUUUAUUAUCCAUAUUCAUACAUUGCUGAAAAAUUUAAUUAAGAAAAGUAAUGCUACAAGUUAAUCCUAAGCUAAAAGCCUAGGAUUAAUUUGUAGCAUAGAAUAGUUAUUUUAAUUAAAUUUCUUAAUGAUGCUAAUAUAAUUUAUAUAUAAUAUACUACAAAUAAUGAUAUCUUCUGUUUCUAAGUUACUGUAAUUUUUAACAGCUGAUAUUUUUAGACUAAUAUUUUACAUUUAAUCUAUUAAUUAUAAAGUGAUUAAUAUAAAUAGAAAUAGUAUUUUGAAGCAUAUUAUAUAAAUGGAACCGACAAAUAUAGUUCAAUAUAUUAUAUAUUUAUGUU
Molecule: long non-coding RNA, 4203 nt
Organism: Sitophilus oryzae (rice weevil)
Lineage: Eukaryota; Metazoa; Arthropoda; Insecta; Coleoptera; Curculionidae
Exons: 8
Source: RefSeq, a predicted model, not a curated record